Molecule: ribosomal RNA, 463 nt
Filed under: Vreelandella stevensii
Lineage: Bacteria; Pseudomonadati; Pseudomonadota; Gammaproteobacteria; Oceanospirillales; Halomonadaceae
Description: partial 16S ribosomal RNA
Rfam family: Bacterial small subunit ribosomal RNA
Source: RNAcentral
CUACGGAGGCUGCAGUGGGGAAUAUUGGACAAUGGGGGCAACCCUGAUCCAGCCAUGCCGCGUGUGUGAAGAAGGCCCUCGGGUUGUAAAGCACUUUCAGUGAGGAAGAACGCCUGGUGGUUAAUACCCAUCAGGAAAGACAUCACUCACAGAAGAAGCACCGGCUAACUCCGUGCCAGCAGCCGCGGUAAUACGGAGGGUGCGAGCGUUAAUCGGAAUUACUGGGCGUAAAGCGCGCGUAGGUGGCUUGAUAAGCCGGUUGUGAAAGCCCCGGGCUCAACCUGGGAACGGCAUCCGGAACUGUCAAGCUAGAGUGCAGGAGAGGAAGGUAGAAUUCCCGGUGUAGCGGUGAAAUGCGUAGAGAUCGGGAGGAAUACCAGUGGCGAAGGCGGCCUUCUGGACUGACACUGACACUGAGGUGCGAAAGCGUGGGUAGCAAACAGGAUUAGAUACCCGUGUAGUC